This 250-nucleotide long non-coding RNA is filed under the name Rosa chinensis. RNAcentral's name for it is "sRNA RchiOBHm_Chr2g0114211". Lineage: Eukaryota; Viridiplantae; Streptophyta; Magnoliopsida; Rosales; Rosaceae. The record is from RNAcentral.
GGCUAACGUCAUAGAGAUUUCGAGCAGUGAGGAUUCCGGGUCUGACGUGUCGUUCAGCGCGGCGGAUAGGAUUUUUAUUGAUUCGUUGCGUCCGUCUGCCCAUGCAGGAACCUCACUGCCAGAACCGCUAGAAGUUGAGCCGCUACAGACCAUCCUCUGGGAAGUAGCUAUGGGUCGUGGUUCGCGUCCGGAGAGCUCUAGGGCGGGUGAGGCCGCUGCUGCCAAAGCUAGGCGCGACGAGCGUUUGGCG